AGAGUUUGAUCCUGGCUCAGGACAAACGCUGGCGGCGUGCUUAAUACAUGCAAGUCUUACGAGAAAGUCAAGCUUCGGUUUGGCGAGUAAAGUGGCGAACGGGUGAGUAACACGUAGGCAACCUGCCCUUAAGUUGGGGAUAACUGUGCUAACGCGCAGCUAAUACCGAAUAAGGUGUUUUUUUCGCAUGAAAGAAAUAUUAAAGCUGGGCUUCGGCCUAGCGUUUAAGGAUGGGCCUGCGUUCCAUUAGCUUGUUGGUAAGGUAACGGCUUACCAAGGCUACGAUGGAUAGCCGAUCUGAGAGGAUGAUCGGCCACACUGGGACUGAGAUACGGCCCAGACUCCUACGGGAGGCAGCAGUAGGGAAUUUUGCGCAAUGGCCGAAAGGCUGACGCAGCAACGCCGCGUGGGUGAUGAAGCUUUACGGAGUGUAAAACCCUGUUAGAAGGGACGAACAAGUUCCAUGUGAAUAAUUUGGAACUCUGACGGUACCUUCAGAGAAAGCUCCGGCUAACUCCGUGCCAGCAGCCGCGGUAAUACGGGGGGAGCAAGCGUUGUCCGGAUUUACUGGGCGUAAGGAGGAUGUAGGCGGGUUUGCAAGUCAGAAGUGAAAUCCAACGGCUUAACCGUUGAAUUGCUUUUGAAACUGCAGAUCUUGAGUGCAGUAGAGGAAGGCGGAAUUCCAGGUGUAGCGGUGAAAUGCGUAGAUAUCUGGAAGAAUACCGGUAGCGAAGGCUGCUUUCUGGCCUGUCACUGACGCUGAGAUCCGAAAGCGUGGGGAGCGAACAGGAUUAGAUACCCUGGUAGUCCACGCCGUAAACGUUGAACACUAGGUGUUGGGGGAUUCGGUCCCUUCAGCGCCGGAGCUAACGCAUUAAGUGUUCCGCCUGGGGAGUACGAUCGCAAGGUUGAAACUCAAAGGAAUUGACGGGGGCCCGCACAAGCGGUGGAGCAUGUGGUUUAAUUCGAUUCAACGCGAAGAACCUUACCUGGGCUUGAAAAGCAAUUGAUCAUCUCGGGAAACCGAGACUUCCUUCGGGACAAUUGUACAGGUGCUGCAUGGCUAUCGUCAGCUCGUGUCGUGAGAUGUUGGGUUAAGUCCCGCAACGAGCGCAACCCUUGUCCUUAGUUGCCUUCAGGUUAUGCUGGGCACUCUAAGGAGACUGCCGACUUUAAGUCGGAGGAAGGUGGGGACGACGUCAAGUCAUCAUGGUCUUUAUGUCCAGGGCUACACACGUGCUACAAUGGCUAGUACAGAGGGGUGCAAUGCCGCGAGGUGGAGCAAAUCCCAAAAAGCUAGUCUCAGUUCGGAUUGGAGUCUGCAACUCGACUCCAUGAAGUUGGAAUCGCUAGUAAUCGCAGAUCAGCAUGCUGCGGUGAAUACGUUCCCGGGCCUUGUG
RNAcentral lists this ribosomal RNA (1400 nucleotides) under metagenome. RNAcentral's name for it is "bacterial SSU rRNA". It matches the Rfam family "Bacterial small subunit ribosomal RNA", at positions 8 to 1385 of the family's 1533-position model. The record is from RNAcentral.